GAUGAACGCUGGCGGCGUGCCUAAUACAUGCAAGUCGAGCGAACAGACGAGGAGCUUGCUCCUCUGACGUUAGCGGCGGACGGGUGAGUAACACGUGGAUAACCUACCUAUAAGACUGGGAUAACUUCGGGAAACCGGAGCUAAUACCGGAUAAUAUAUUGAACCGCAUGGUUCAAUAGUGAAAGACGGUUAUGCUGUCACUUAUAGAUGGAUCCGCGCCGCAUUAGCUAGUUGGUAAGGUAACGGCUUACCAAGGCAACGAUGCGUAGCCGACCUGAGAGGGUGAUCGGCCACACUGGAACUGAGACACGGUCCAGACUCCUACGGGAGGCAGCAGUAGGGAAUCUUCCGCAAUGGGCGAAAGCUUGACGGAGCAACGCCGCGUGAGUGAUGAAGGUCUUCGGAUCGUAAAACUCUGUUAUUAGGGAAGAACAAAUGUGUAAGUAACUAUGCACGUCUUGACGGUACCUAAUCAGAAAGCCACGGCUAACUACGUG
Molecule: ribosomal RNA, 497 nt
Filed under: uncultured bacterium
Lineage: Bacteria
Description: partial 16S ribosomal RNA
Rfam family: Bacterial small subunit ribosomal RNA
Source: RNAcentral